CAUGGAAAAGGGUUUACCCAAUCACUCAUGGAUAUGUCAAGCCACCUGAUGGAGUCACCGUGUAUCCAGGUAAUUACACAUGUUAUGCUAUACCUAAGAAUACUGGUGUGUAUCUGGGCAGAUUCCCAUCUGGAUAUUGCUCAACCUACCAUAGCCCACGUGUGUCACUGCUAAUAAAUCAUGCAAAGACCAUUGGAGAUAUCUAUUGGUUAUGUGGUGACAGACAAUUGAGGUCCCAAUUAGCUGAGCAAUGGUGGGGGGAGUGUGCCCUAACCAAAGUCAUAAUGCCUAUCCACAUUAUUCCAGAUGGUAGUCAUAACACGUUAAACCUUACACAUGUACACUCUAGAACCAAACGAGGGGCUCCUAUCCGAGGGAGCUUUGACCCCCAUGUGUAUAUUGAUGCCAUAGGUGUGCCAAGGGGGGUGCCUAAAGAAUACAAAGCAAGAGAUGAAGUGGCUGCAGGAUUUGAAUCCCUAAUUCCAAUGAUAACUGCUAACAAAAAUGUCAAUUGGAUUAACUACAUUUACUAUAAUCAACAGCGCUUUGUCAACUACACUAGGGAUGCCCUACAGGGCCUGGCAGAGUAAUUACAAGCCACUACCCAAAUGACAUUUCAGAACAGAAUGGCCCUAGAUAUGAUUUUAGCUGAGAAAGGGGGUGUAUGUAAAAUCCUCCCUGAGACCAUGACAUGCUGCACAUACAUUCCAGACAACACUGGGCCCAAUGGUAAGGUGACUAUGGCCAUAGAGAAGCUAGAUAGUCUUGCAGACGAGCUAAAGAAAAAUUCAGGAGUCACUGACACUUGGGACAGAUGGUUUGGGUGGAUGAAUGGUUGGCAAAG
Molecule: long non-coding RNA, 844 nt
Filed under: Pelobates cultripes (western spadefoot toad)
Lineage: Eukaryota; Metazoa; Chordata; Amphibia; Anura; Pelobatidae
Source: RNAcentral